UUUGGAUGUAAAGUAAGUAAACUUGAGUAGUAUUAGUUAUAAGGUCUUGAAACUUAAAGAAUUUGGCGGUAUUUUAGUCCAUUUAGAGGAAUCUGUCUCGUAAUCGAUAAUCCACGUUGUACCUUACUUAAAUUAAUUUAAUAUGUAUAUCGCUGUUGAUGAAAAUCUUUUUAGGGUAGAUAAUUUUUGUAAUUUUUAUUAAAAAAUGUUUCAAGUCAAGGUGCAGUCUAUGUUUAAGAGAUGAUGGAUUACAAUAUUUUUCUAUAUAUGAAUUGUUGACUGAAUAAGGGUCAAUAUGAAGGUGGAUUUAAUAGUAAUAUUAUUGAGAAUAAUAGUAUGAUUAAAGGCUCUAAAAUAUGU
RNAcentral lists this ribosomal RNA (360 nucleotides) under Ectobiidae sp. 10 FL-2016. Its description in RNAcentral is "12S ribosomal RNA". Lineage: Eukaryota; Metazoa; Arthropoda; Insecta; Blattodea; Ectobiidae. The record is from RNAcentral.